CCGUUUUUAUUUGACUUUUAUUCACGCCGAUCACGUGAUUUCACAAAAAUGUUCCUCAUGGUUAUUUCCGGUUGUCAUUGUUUACGUUGGAAACAAACCGUUUGAAGCGAAAAAAGACGCCGACUGGUACUCCUGCGCGGCUCCUGGCUGAAGAUCUGACGUCUGAAUACAGGGGAGAUAUGGGUACAUGUCGUCAGUACAGUUUUUUGUCUUCCCCUCCAAAAUAAAGGCACCAACAAAAAGAAAAAAAUGUCUUAACCUUAGAAGAAGGGGAUCCGACUUUGAGCCAAAAGGAAUGCGACGGGUCUGUUCCUUACACUUUGUGGACGGAAAACCCACUCCUGACCACCCAUACCCAGAAGUAUUUGAAUAUAACAACUUCAAAUAAAGUAAAAAAAAUUCGCCCUAAUACCUCAAUUCUAAAAAGAGAACAGGCUUUAUUACAUUUACACAAUUCUAUGAAGAACGAUGCUGGUGUCUGCAGAGACGAGGAUGGUUGCAUUGAUUAUGACUUGACACCAAUAAAACGUAUUGUUGAUGCUGAUGACAUGAAUCCCCUAGAAUUAAAUGGCUGUUGUAAAAGAAUGUGUGAUUUCUGACAUGGAGACAUCUGUCUCCCACCCAUGGUCAGAAGCUAUUGCAAGAGAUCAUGAUUAUGGAG
Saccostrea cuccullata (small rock oyster) is the source of this 661-nucleotide long non-coding RNA. RefSeq lists it as uncharacterized. Lineage: Eukaryota; Metazoa; Mollusca; Bivalvia; Ostreida; Ostreidae. The transcript has 4 exons. The record is from RefSeq and is a predicted model, not a curated record.